AACGAACGCUGGCGGCAUGCCUAACACAUGCAAGUCGAACGAAGCCCUCGGGCUUAGUGGCGCACGGGUGCGUAACGCGUGGGAAUCUGCCCUUUGGUUCGGAAUAACAGUUGGAAACGACUGCUAAUACCGGAUGAUGACGAAAGUCCAAAGAUUUAUCGCCAGAGGAUGAGCCCGCGUAGGAUUAGCUAGUUGGUGUGGUAAAGGCGCACCAAGGCGACGGUCCUUAGCUGGUCUGAGAGGAUGAUCAGCCACGCUGGGACUGAGAAACGGCCCAGACUCCUACGGGAGGCAGCAGUGGGGAAUAUUGGACAAUGGGCGAAAGCCUGAUCCAGCAAUGCCGCGUGAGUGAUGAAGGCCCUAGGGUUGUAAAGCUCUUUUACCCGGGAUGAUAAUGACAGUACCGGGAGAAUAAGCCCCGGCUAACUCCGUGCCAGCAGCCGCCGUAA
This 449-nucleotide ribosomal RNA is filed under the name uncultured bacterium. RNAcentral's name for it is "partial 16S ribosomal RNA". It matches the Rfam family "Bacterial small subunit ribosomal RNA", at positions 29 to 523 of the family's 1533-position model. The record is from RNAcentral.